RNAcentral lists this long non-coding RNA (576 nucleotides) under Bos taurus (domestic cattle). RNAcentral's name for it is "long non-coding RNA NONBTAT002789". The record is from RNAcentral. Lineage: Eukaryota; Metazoa; Chordata; Mammalia; Artiodactyla; Bovidae.
GGGUUUCAAGAGCUUUUUACUUGUAAUUUGUUGUACAUAAUCAAUUAGUACAAUGUAGAAUCUGAGAAAUUUCAAAUGAGGCCACAUUUUUAGCUGCUACUAGCAUGAACUAUACAGACUUUUUUUCCAUCUAAGAAAUAAGAAAGUCUUCUGAGUAGCAAAUAGCUAGCCAAAUGAGUUGAUUCUGAUAAUAGCAACACAGUUCUGAUGAGUUAGCAUUUCUUAAAGAGUGAUUUCCCUUAAAUGUAAGGAAAACUUAGGUGUCUCUGUGAUUACAUUUAAUUCCACUUGGAAUUUAGACAAAAAUGACCUUUCAUUCAACCCAGUAGUUGUUGGACUGGAUUAAGUAUUACUGUCAGUUUCCAGCUGUAAUAAGAGAUAAAACAAGGAGCAUUCUAUUACAAAAUCAUAAAUUUCUAUUGCCUCACCUUUAGGAAGGCAGACCUCCUCCCCUAAAAAAAAAAAAAAGGGCCAGUAGGGUCAUAAAACAUAUUUUAUUAAAGUUCAAUCACCUUAAGUGAUUGAAGGUUGUGACUUUCUAUCUAGCAGGUGGUAGUAAUAUUAAGCCUAAAAUCC